UCGGGAUAUUGCGCAAUGGAGGAAACUCUGACGCAGUGACGCCGCGUAUAGGAAGAAGGUUUUCGGAUUGUAAACUAUUGUCGUUAGGGAAGAUACAAGACAGUACCUAAGGAGGAAGCUCCGGCUAACUACGUGCCAGCAGCCGCGGUAACACGUAAGGUGCGAGCGUUGUUCGGAAUCAUUGGGCGUAAAGGGCAUGUAGGCGGUCUGUCAAGCCAGGCGUGAAAGCCAGGGGCUCAACCCCUGAACUGCGCUUGGAACUGGCGGACUGGAGUCGCUGAGGGGGAGCCGGAAUUCCUGGUGUAGGGGUGAAAUCUGUAGAUAUCAGGAAGAACACCGAUGGCGAAGGCAGGUUUCCAGCAGACGACUGACGCUGAGGUGCGAAGGUGCGGGGAGCAAACAGGAUUAGAUACCCUGGUAGU
RNAcentral lists this ribosomal RNA (422 nucleotides) under uncultured Treponema sp. RNAcentral describes it as "bacterial SSU rRNA". It matches the Rfam family "Bacterial small subunit ribosomal RNA", at positions 356 to 794 of the family's 1533-position model. The record is from RNAcentral. Lineage: Bacteria; Pseudomonadati; Spirochaetota; Spirochaetia; Treponematales; Treponemataceae.